RNAcentral lists this ribosomal RNA (466 nucleotides) under uncultured bacterium. RNAcentral's name for it is "partial 16S ribosomal RNA". It matches the Rfam family "Bacterial small subunit ribosomal RNA", at positions 28 to 507 of the family's 1533-position model. The record is from RNAcentral.
GAUGAACGCUGGCGGCGUGCUUAACACAUGCAAGUCGAACGGAAAGGCCCAAGCUUGCUUGGGUACUCGAGUGGCGAACGGGUGAGUAACACGUGGGUGAUCUGCCCUGCACUUCGGGAUAAGCCUGGGAAACUGGGUCUAAUACCGGAUAGGACCACAUUUUGGAUGGUGUGGUGGAAAGUUUUUCGGUGUGGGAUGAGCUCGCGGCCUAUCAGCUUGUUGGUGGGGUAAUGGCCUACCAAGGCGUCGACGGGUAGCCGGCCUGAGAGGGUGUACGGCCACAUUGGGACUGAGAUACGGCCCAGACUCCUACGGGGGGCAGCAGGGGGGAAUAUUGCACAAUGGGCGCAAGCCUGAUGCAGCGACGCCGCGUGGGGGAUGACGGCCUUCGGGUUGUAAACUCCUUUCGCUAGGGACGAAGCGUUGUGUGACGGUACCUGGAGAAGAAGCACCGGCUAACUACGUG